This 815-nucleotide long non-coding RNA is filed under the name Coturnix japonica (Japanese quail). Its description in RNAcentral is "lncRNA (ENSCJPG00005000204.1)". The record is from RNAcentral. Lineage: Eukaryota; Metazoa; Chordata; Aves; Galliformes; Phasianidae.
AAAUAAGAGGUGGAAUUGAAAUAGGGAUGAGGAAAAUAUCGUUGCAGCAGCUGCAGCCUGUGGUGUCUGCUGCCAGAUGUGUGAAGGUUCCCGGAGUCCUGGACACUAAAAGGAUGCAUAAAAAUAUUUGGAGACAAAAGCUGCAAACUCAGUGAUCAUUUUCUGUAUUUAACAUGGCAGCAGGCACCGUGUGGAGAAAUCAGUGUGCUGGAUGUUGAACUGGACUUUCCUUCUUUCUAGGAUGAAAGGGGGUGAUCUAUCCCGUUCCAAAAGGGAACUGAGCACAGAAGCGAUGAAUGCUGCAUAAUUAAGUACAGUAUUUAAUUUGGCUGUUGUGAAGCAAAAGAAUAAGGGGAAGGGGAAGAAAGUCUCCAAAACUAACCCAUCGCGGUCAUAUUUUGCUGAGGAUAAAACAAAAUCCCACCUUGCUUUUUAAAAAGCGUACUUCAAGGAUUGGAUUAUCAACCACAACUUUCAAUAAGGUACUCCUCAUAGUUAAUUAUGCUGUUAACUCUAAGUUCUCCUGUCCUCGGUUUCAAGCCUCUGGGUCUUGGUAUGCCUCUGUCUUUGAGAUUGAAAUGAGAUUUGUCUUCCUGUGUAUAUAUUUAUAGACCGUAAUCUAGUUUUAUAUUAUACUACAGAGGUGACAUAUCUUGAUUCUCUCACUUCAGGUCAUGAUUUUUAAUCCUUUGAUGAUUAUACAUACCAGCAUUUAUUUUUCUUACAGUUAGAGAAAUUAGAUGUGGUGAUGUUUCUUUUUAAAACUGAUAUUGAAACUGAUACUAAGUAGUGUCUGUGUUCCUACUUGAGAUUCC